RNAcentral lists this ribosomal RNA (253 nucleotides) under uncultured bacterium. RNAcentral's name for it is "partial 16S ribosomal RNA". It matches the Rfam family "Bacterial small subunit ribosomal RNA", at positions 524 to 776 of the family's 1533-position model. The record is from RNAcentral.
GACGGAGGGAGCGAGCGGUAAUCGGAAGUCCUGGGCGUAAAGCGCAUGUAGGCUGCCGAACAAGUCAGGUAUGAAAUCCUCGGGCUUAACCUGGGAAGUGCACUUGAUACUGUCCGGCUAGAGUUUGGCAGAGGAAGGUAGAAUUCCCGGUGUAGCGGUGAAAUGCGUAGAUAUCGGGAGGAAUACCAGUGGCGAAGGCGGCUUUCUGGGCCAAUACUGACGCUUAGGUGCGAAAGCGUGGGGAGCAAACAGG